RNAcentral lists this microRNA precursor (78 nucleotides) under Schistosoma haematobium. Its description in RNAcentral is "mir-3492 microRNA precursor family". It matches the Rfam family "mir-3492 microRNA precursor family". Lineage: Eukaryota; Metazoa; Platyhelminthes; Trematoda; Strigeidida; Schistosomatidae. The record is from Rfam by way of RNAcentral.
AGCCUUCUGUAUCCGUGCUGAGAUUUCAUCGCACACCAGAACACAAGGGUUGAUGAGACCUCCCAGAUAAGUGAAGCG